Molecule: long non-coding RNA, 224 nt
Filed under: Homo sapiens (human)
Lineage: Eukaryota; Metazoa; Chordata; Mammalia; Primates; Hominidae
Description: non-protein coding lnc-KLF4-12:1
Source: RNAcentral
AAAUCAUCCCUAAUCCAACCUAAUUGAGCAUACUUCAAAACAGAUUAGCAAGAAAGACUGCCUUCUUUCUGGAUGCUUCAAAGGAAGAGGUAUGAACUCAGCACAAGGUUGUAUUAUGUGUAAAUGUAUUUUUUGAAAAGACUAGAGGGAUAUACAGAGUCUACAGUGGUUCCUUAGACCGAUGGCAAAAGCCAUUCUCAUUUUACUAUACUUUAUUUACUAUA